Molecule: ribosomal RNA, 497 nt
Filed under: uncultured bacterium
Lineage: Bacteria
Description: partial 16S ribosomal RNA
Rfam family: Bacterial small subunit ribosomal RNA
Source: RNAcentral
GAUGAACGCUGGCGGCGUGCCUAAUACAUGCAAGUCGAGCGAACAGACGAGGAGCUUGCUCCUCUGACGUUAGCGGCGGACGGGUGAGUAACACGUGGAUAACCUACCUAUAAGACUGGGAUAACUUCGGGAAACCGGAGCUAAUACCGGAUAAUAUAUUGAACCGCAUGGUUCAAUAGUGAAAGACGGUUUUGCUGUCACUUAUAGAUGGAUCCGCGCCGCAUUAGCUAGUUGGUAAGGUAACGGCUUACCAAGGCAACGAUGCGUAGCCGACCUGGGAGGGUGAUCGGCCCCACUGGAACUGAGCCACGGUCCAGACUCCUACGGGAGGCAGCAGUAGGGAAUCUUCCGCAAUGGGCGAAAGCCUGACGGAGCAACGCCGCGUGAGUGAUGAAGGUCUUCGGAUCGUAAAACUCUGUUAUUAGGGAAGAACAAAUGUGUAAGUAACUAUGCACGUCUUGACGGUACCUAAUCAGAAAGCCACGGCUAACUACGUG